GCUACUCUCUCAGAGUAACUGCCACUCCCAGAGACCAACUGCCACAGAAAAACCAUUAAAAUCUCCCCCAUACACUGUCAACAUUUGAAACUGACACUCUGUCUUAGAUCUGCUUCAAACUCUAAUUCUUUCUCAAGCCAGCUUCUUCACUUCUUAUCUCUAAACUAAUAUAACAAGACUUGAUUCCUAAUAUCAUCCUUAUAUACCAGAUAAGAUGUCUCAGUUUUUUUUUAUUUUUAUGGGCUAUUUAUAAUACCUUGUUGUAAAAUUUGUGUUAAUUAUUAGUCAUAGGCUAGAUGUAGGUCAAUGUUAAGUAAAAAUGAGUUUCUAAACUUUUUCAGUGUCAUCUGCUGGCCAUGUUUUCAUCAGAGGCUAGAGAAAAGAAUGAAGGUUUUUGUUUCUUCCCCAUCCUCAGCUGAUAGGGAAGGUGAUAGCUGCCAAAUCCUCUCUUCAUGGGCUGAGAUAGAUCUGAGAUGGACAAAGAGACACACACCUCAUCCAUCAGUCAUCCACAUCUCAAGAACCACCAUGUCUUCGGGAAACCCUCUCCCCCUCCCCCUAGCUCCAGAGUUAUAUCCUCACUGUUGUAAAGCCUAUAAAAACCCCAGAAUUUGUGUCCUCUGGGGACAGCUUUUCCAUCCAUGCUGUUCCCCCUAGGAGGCAACUUUCCACCCAUGUUGCCCUCCUGACCAGAUUCAACAUUACCUUCCAAA
RNAcentral lists this long non-coding RNA (713 nucleotides) under Monodelphis domestica (gray short-tailed opossum). RNAcentral's name for it is "lncRNA (ENSMODG00000031763.2)". The record is from RNAcentral. Lineage: Eukaryota; Metazoa; Chordata; Mammalia; Didelphimorphia; Didelphidae.